This 355-nucleotide long non-coding RNA is filed under the name Vigna radiata. RNAcentral describes it as "long non-coding RNA (VRAD_LNC018080)". The record is from RNAcentral. Lineage: Eukaryota; Viridiplantae; Streptophyta; Magnoliopsida; Fabales; Fabaceae.
AUGAUGGGAAAAGAUUGAAAACCUUCCCUUUUAAGAUUGGGUUCUAUGGUUGGAGGCAAAAUUGCUCUUAGUAAGACUUCCUCCUUUUCUUUCUUUUCCCUUUCUUGUCUUUCCUCUUCUUGUUCUCUUCUCUCUUUUUCUUCUCUCUUUCUCUUCUCUUCUUCUUUCCUCUCUUCUCUUCUUAUUCCCUUUCUUCUCUCUUCUUCUUCUCUUCUUAAUUCCUCUCUUCUCUCUUUCUCUUUUCUUCUUUCCUUUCUUCCUUUUCUCUUCUCUCAAUCUCUCUUUUUCUUUUCUUAUCCUUGAUCUCUUUAAGUUUUGCCCCAAAUUCUAACUCUCUCCUAAGAAACCCAUGAUC